RNAcentral lists this long non-coding RNA (295 nucleotides) under Homo sapiens (human). RNAcentral describes it as "HSALNT0193151". The record is from RNAcentral. Lineage: Eukaryota; Metazoa; Chordata; Mammalia; Primates; Hominidae.
AUCUUCAUCAAGAAAGAGCCUGUGCAUAUAACCUGUACACACACACACACACACACACUCACACACACACACACAAAAUCAACAAAACCCUAUGCUCCAGCCAGAAAAACACCUUCUUGCCACUAGGCCCCUAUUAGUGCUGGUCCCUCCACAGCCCUGCAGUUCUCAAAGAACAAGGGUCGUUGGGCAAUCCUUCCAGACAGCUUCUGGGAGUGACCCGUCCUUGACACAUUGAGUUAGCUGUGCUCUGAAGGCCCAAAGCGAUUCGAAGCAUGAUUUUAAUGACUGUCAUUAC